RNAcentral lists this ribosomal RNA (481 nucleotides) under uncultured bacterium. RNAcentral describes it as "bacterial SSU rRNA". It matches the Rfam family "Bacterial small subunit ribosomal RNA", at positions 501 to 985 of the family's 1533-position model. The record is from RNAcentral.
CUACGUGCCAGCAGCCGCGGUAAUACGGAAGGUCCGGGCGUUAUCCGGAUUUAUUGGGUUUAAAGGGAGCGUAGGCCGGAGAUUAAGUGUGUUGUGAAAUGUAGACGCUCAACGUCUGACUUGCAGCGCAUACUGGUUUCCUUGAGUACGCACAACGUUGGCGGAAUUCGUCGUGUAGCGGUGAAAUGCUUAGAUAUGACGAAGAACUCCGAUUGCGAAGGCAGCUGACGGGAGCGCAACUGACGCUUAAGCUCGAAGGUGCGGGUAUCGAACAGGAUUAGAUACCCUGGUAGUCCGCACAGUAAACGAUGGAUGCCCGCUGUUGGUACCUGGUAUCAGCGGCUAAGCGAAAGCAUUAAGCAUCCCACCUGGGGAGUACGCCGGCAACGGUGAAACUCAAAGGAAUUGACGGGGGCCCGCACAAGCGGAGGAACAUGUGGUUUAAUUCGAUGAUACGCGAGGAACCUUACCCGGGAUUGAA